Molecule: ribosomal RNA, 1409 nt
Filed under: metagenome
Description: bacterial LSU rRNA
Rfam family: Bacterial large subunit ribosomal RNA
Source: RNAcentral
AAAAAAUCCGGGGGCCAUUGAUCCUGAGGCGUGACGGUGACCGCUUUAGCGGGAAGUAGGGUGAUCCUAUGCUGCCAAGAAAAACUUCUAGCGAGGUUUGAGCCGCCCGUACCCUAAACCGACCCAGGUGGUUAGGUAGAGAAUACCAAGGCGAUCGAGUGAAUCGUGGUUAAGGAAUUCGGCAAAAUGCCCCCGUAACUUCGGGAGAAGGGGGGCCGUGACCUUGAAACCCUUUACGGGUUAGGGGUAUCGGCCGCAGAGACCAGGGAGAAGCGACUGUUUACUAAAAACACAGGUCCGUGCGAAGAAGCAAUUCGAUGUAUACGGACUGACGCCUGCCCGGUGCUGGAACGUUAAGGGGACCGGUUAGCUCCACUUUGUGGGGCGAAGCUGAGAACUUAAGCGCCAGUAAACGGCGGUGGUAACUAUAACCAUCCUAAGGUAGCGAAAUUCCUUGUCGGGUAAGUUCCGACCUGCACGAAUGGCGUAACGACUUCUCCACUGUCUCAACCGCGAACUCGGCGAAAUUGCAUUACGAGUAAAGAUGCUCGUUACGCGCAGCAGGACGGAAAGACCCCGGGACCUUUACUACAGCUUGGUAUUGGUGUUCGGUACGGCUUGUGUAGGAUAGGUGGGAGACUGUGAAGCGGCCACGCCAGUGGUUGUGGAGUCAACGUUGAAAUACCACUCUGGUUGUACUGGAUGUCUAACUUCGGUCCAUGAUCUGGAUCAGGGACAGUGCCUGGUGGGUAGUUUAACUGGGGCGGUUGCCUCCCAAAAGGUAACGGAGGCGCCCAAAGGUUCCCUCAGCCUGGUUGGCAAUCAGGUGUUGAGUGUAAGUGCACAAGGGAGCUUGACUGUGAGACCGACAGGUCGAGCAGGGACGAAAGUCGGGACUAGUGAUCCGGCGGUGGCAUGUGGAAGCGCCGUCGCUCAACGGAUAAAAGGUACCCCGGGGAUAACAGGCUGAUCUUGCCCAAGAGUCCAUAUCGACGGCAUGGUUUGGCACCUCGAUGUCGGCUCGUCGCAUCCUGGGGCUGGAGUAGGUCCCAAGGGUUGGGCUGUUCGCCCAUUAAAGCGGUACGCGAGCUGGGUUUAGAACGUCGUGAGACAGUUCGGUCCCUAUCCGCUGCGCGCGUAGGAAACUUGAGGAGAGCUGUCCCUAGUACGAGAGGACCGGGAUGGACGAACCACUGGUACGUCAGUUGUUCCGCCAGGAGCACCGCUGAUUAGCUACGUUCGGGCGUGAUAACCGCUGAAAGCAUCUAAGCGGGAAACAUCCUCCAAGAUGAGGUUUCCAUACCCUUCGGGGUGAGAGGCUCCCAGCUAGACGACUGGGUUGAUAGGCCAGAUGUGGAAACACAGUAAUGUGUGCAGCUGACUGGUACUAAUAAGCCGAUAACUUCACU